RNAcentral lists this unclassified non-coding RNA (212 nucleotides) under plant metagenome. RNAcentral's name for it is "partial contains small subunit ribosomal RNA, internal transcribed spacer 1, and 5.8S ribosomal RNA". The record is from RNAcentral.
UCUCCGUUGGUGAACCAGCGGAGGGAUCAUUACAGGAUCGAAAGACUCCUAUAACCCCUGUGAACUUACUACAAAUACGUUGCUUCGGCGGGUGCCCCGGGUCUCCCGGGGCGUUCAGCCCGCCGGCAGCCUUCAAAUUCUGUUUCUUUGCGUUGGCAUCUCGAGUAUACAAAAAUAAGUUAAAACCUUCAACAACGGAUCUCUUGGUUCUG